UGAGGAAUAUUGGUCAAUGGACGCAAGUCUGAACCAGCCAAGUAGCGUGCAGGAUGACGGCCCUAUGGGUUGUAAACUGCUUUUAUAUGGGGAUAAAGUGGGGAACGUGUUCCCUUUUGCAGGUACCAUAUGAAUAAGGACCGGCUAAUUCCGUGCCAGCAGCCGCGGUAAUACGGAAGGUUCGGGCGUUAUCCGGAUUUAUUGGGUUUAAAGGGAGCGUAGGCCGUUUGGUAAGCGUGUUGUGAAAUGUAGGAGCUCAACUUCUAGAUUGCAGCGCGAACUGUCAGACUUGAGUGCGCACAACGUAGGCGGAAUUCAUGGUGUAGCGGUGAAAUGCUUAGAUAUCAUGAAGAACUCCGAUUGCGAAGGCAGCUUACGGGAGCGCAACUGACGCUGAAGCUCGAAGGUGCGGGUAUCGAACAGGAUUAGAUACCCUGGUAGUCCGCACAGUAAACGAUGGAUGCCCGCUGUUAGCACCCAGUGUUAGCGGCUAAGCGAAAGCAUUAAGCAUCCCACCUGGGGAGUACGCCGGCAACGGUG
Molecule: ribosomal RNA, 540 nt
Filed under: uncultured bacterium
Lineage: Bacteria
Description: bacterial SSU rRNA
Rfam family: Bacterial small subunit ribosomal RNA
Source: RNAcentral